This 253-nucleotide ribosomal RNA is filed under the name uncultured bacterium. Its description in RNAcentral is "partial 16S ribosomal RNA". It matches the Rfam family "Bacterial small subunit ribosomal RNA", at positions 524 to 776 of the family's 1533-position model. The record is from RNAcentral.
UACAGAGGUCUCAAGCGUUGUUCGGAUUCAUUGGGCGUAAAGGGUGCGUAGGCGGCGUGGUAAGUCGGGUGUGAAAUCUCGGAGCUUAACUCCGAAACUGCAUUCGAUACUGCCGUGCUUGAGGACUGGAGGGGAGACUGGAAUUUACGGUGUAGCGGUGAAAUGCGUAGAUAUCGUAAGGAAGACCAGUGGCGAAGGCGGGUCUCUGGACAGUUCCUGACGCUGAGGCACGAAGGCCAGGGGAGCAAACGGG